Lucilia cuprina (Australian sheep blowfly) is the source of this 1635-nucleotide long non-coding RNA. RefSeq lists it as uncharacterized. NCBI's taxonomy places the organism in Eukaryota, Metazoa, Arthropoda, Insecta, Diptera, Calliphoridae. The transcript has 3 exons. The record is from RefSeq and is a predicted model, not a curated record.
GUCCUUAACCGUGAGAGCAUUUAGCUUACGAGCGUCCAGACACAAACGGUUCUUCUCGCCCCUACGGACGAGAGUAACCGGAUGGCUCCAAGGACUCUCGCUUCAUAAAGUCUACGCCUAAGAAUAGACUCCUACUUAGCGUUGGUACUAAAUAUAAGCUUUCUUUAUCUUGUUCGAGACCUUCCCGAAGAUUCUUAAUUUAGCUUCAUUAUAUUCAUGAAUUCUUUGAUGUAAUUGUUUAAUUACAUGAACUUUCGACUUCUCAGCUUCAGGAGUUAAACGCUCGGAAUUAACUAGAAUUCGGGUAGGUCUGGACGGAGUAUUAUCCGGGAUUAGGGUUGGUUUGAAUGAGUCCCCCCCGUUUGGGACUCGUUCCCCUUCAGGUUUCCCUGACAUUUAGGGCAUUUAGGCGUGACUACAUUGUCUCUACCUCAUCCAAAACAAAAUAUGCGUCUAUUGGGUGAUGGGCAAUCCAUGAAGUUAUGGCCUGGUUGCUUGCAAUUCCAGCAUAUAUACCGGCUGCUAGUGGCUAAGGCGUCUACUUCGGGGAUAGGUGUAAGCUCUUCAUCUCCAAACUGGAGUUCGUGUACGCGAGCUGGGACGGAAUGUCUAGCUUGAAAAGUCUGCCUUUGGGUGGUAAUUAAGUUUUCGGCUCGUUUUGCCUGCUGGCAGAACUCAUUCAGAUUAGAAGUGGUCACAGAAAAUAGUAAGUGCGACAUUGACGGUUUUAAGUUACUUUUCAUAAUUUCCACCAAGUCUCGCUCAGAAUAUGGAUUUCGCUGCUGGUUCCUUAGCUUUAUCACAGCAUUGUAGAAACUUUCGAAGCUUUCCAUCGGUAGUUGGCGACGAUCCAUUAUUUGUUUCUGCAGUUGGAACUCGCUCUCGUACCGUCUGAACUGCGUAAGAAAUGCUCCCACCAACACUUCCCAGGAGUGUAUUGGCCUUAAUUUGCGGAGGUUCCAGUACCAAUCUAAGGCCUGGCCUUCCAACAACGAAUGGAAACUUCGUAAAAUUACAUUGAAGCUACAAUUAUAAUCCUGACUCAAGACAUCAAUACGGAAUCCUCUGCACUCAUUGAUUUGAAUGUGCCAUCAAAUUUUAUUCCCCACUUUGAUAAAUCCACCUUCCGGGCGAUGGAAAAAGAACCUUUUGUGGGCCAGCUUGGGGCUUGCGACGACUGUGGUGGUGGCAAAACUGGAUUGAAGUUUGGCGGAUGUGUAUAAGCAGCUCGUGGUGGCAACGGCUGAAAAGCGUCUGGUUGCUGAUUAUUAAGCACAGGUGGUUGCGGUUCGGCAGGCUGUUUAGGUGAUGCUUGGGAUAACGCUCGAGUCAUGGAUUGCGCAAUCUCUUGUUGCAUAUCGCUACGCAAGAACUGCAUUUGCCUUUGCAAUUCCUCGCGCAUAAAAUUAACCACCUCGGUCGCAUGCAAAUUCCAUAAAAAAUUAAAACACUCAGAUCAUUUCAUAAUAAUUCAAAACUAAUUAUAAAUGUUAUUAAAAGAAAUAUUUCAUGUUAAUAAAUGAUGUUCUAAUUUUUAAGAGUAGUAUAAAUAUAACUACAAAAAUAAUACUUUUACAUUUGUGGAUUAUAAUUUUAUGUUUUCUCAUAAAUUCUUAAUUAUAUCUUUUAAAAUAA